AGCAGCCGCGGUAAUUCCAGCUCCAAUAGCGUAUAUUAAAGUUGUUGCAGUUAAAAAGCUCGUAGUUGAAUUUCGGGGUUAGUAGGUUGGUCAUGCCUCUGGUAUGUACUGGUCUCACUGAUUCCUCCUUCCUGAUGAGCCGUAAUGCCGUUAAUUUGGUGUUGCGAGGAAUUUGGACUGUUACUUUGAAAAAAUUAGAGUGUUUAAAGCAAGCUAACGCUUGAAUACAUUAGCAUGGAAUAAUGAAAUAGGACGUUCGAUCCUAUUUUGUUGGUUUCUAGGAUUGACGUAAUGAUUAAUAGGGAUAGUUGGGGGCAUUAGUAUUCAAUUGUCAGAGGUGAAAUUCUUGGAUUAUUGGAAGACUAACUACUGCGAAAGCAUUUGCCAAGGAUGUUUUCAUUAAUCAAGAACGAAAGUUAGGGGAUCGAAGACGAUCAGAUACCGUCGUAGUCUUAACCAUAAACUAUGCCGACUAGGGAUCGGAUGAUGUUAAUUUUUUAAUGACUCAUUCGGCGCCUUA
RNAcentral lists this unclassified non-coding RNA (520 nucleotides) under uncultured Glomus. RNAcentral's name for it is "SSU rRNA". It matches the Rfam family "Eukaryotic small subunit ribosomal RNA", at positions 569 to 1090 of the family's 1831-position model. Lineage: Eukaryota; Fungi; Glomeromycota; Glomeromycetes; Glomerales; Glomeraceae. The record is from RNAcentral.